GGCGUCAUGGAUGGGCAUGCGGCGCAUUAGGUAGUUGGUGGGGCAACGGCCCACCAAGCCGACGAUGCGUAGGGGUUCUGAGAGGAAGGUCCCCCACAUUGGAACUGAGACACGGUCCAAACUCCUACGGGAGGCAGCAGUGAGGAAUAUUGGUCAAUGGCCGGAAGGCUGAACCAGCCAAGUCGCGUGAGGGAAUAAGGCCCUACGGGUCGUAAACCUCUUUUGCCAGGGAGCAAUGCCGUCCACGUGUGGACGGAAGGAGAGUACCUGGAGAAAAAGCAUCGGCUAACUCCGUGCCAGCAGCCGCGGUAAUACGGAGGAUGCGAGCGUUAUCCGGAUUUAUUGGGUUUAAAGGGUGCGUAGGCGGCCUGCCAAGUCAGCGGUAAAAUUGCGGGGCUCAACCCCGUACAGCCGUUGAAACUGCCGGGCUCGAGUGGGCGAGAAGUAUGCGGAAUGCGUGGUGUAGCGGUGAAAUGCAUAGAUAUCACGCAGAACCCCGAUUGCGAAGGCAGCAUACCGGCGCCCGACUGACGCUGAGGCACGAAAGUGCGGGGAUCAAACAGGAUUAGAUACCCUGGUAGUCCGCACAGUAAACGAUGAAUGCUAGCUGUCCGGGGGGAUUGACCCCUGG
Molecule: ribosomal RNA, 631 nt
Filed under: uncultured bacterium
Lineage: Bacteria
Description: bacterial SSU rRNA
Rfam family: Bacterial small subunit ribosomal RNA
Source: RNAcentral